CAGACCUCUGAUCAGGGAAGACUACCCGCUGAGUUUAAGCAUAUCACUAAGCGGAGGA
RNAcentral lists this ribosomal RNA (58 nucleotides) under Ceratodon purpureus. Its description in RNAcentral is "partial 28S ribosomal RNA". The record is from RNAcentral. RNAcentral also lists the same sequence under 3 other names. Lineage: Eukaryota; Viridiplantae; Streptophyta; Bryopsida; Pseudoditrichales; Ditrichaceae.